Mus musculus (house mouse) is the source of this 1990-nucleotide long non-coding RNA. RefSeq annotates it as predicted gene, 41131. NCBI's taxonomy places the organism in Eukaryota, Metazoa, Chordata, Mammalia, Rodentia, Muridae. The transcript has 2 exons. The record is from RefSeq and is a predicted model, not a curated record.
UGAUUUGGGGUGUCGCCUCUCCUGAGUCAGAACGUGAGGGAGUCCUCACGUUGGUUGUGGGUCUUUCAAAGUCUCUUGCCUUGAGCCACUCAGAUAAUGAAGGUUGGUGAGUCCUGCUGCCAGAGCACUUAGUAAUCUAUAGCUCUGGGCCCCUCCUUCCUGGCUUGUUUCCUUAAUAAGGGAGUUAGAUGUGAGAAACUAAGGCUGGGACCUGCCUAACAGGUGACACUUCAAAGUAAUAAACAGCUGUUGCUUCUCCCCACCCUACCCCCACCACCCAAAGGAGGUUGAAAACAAAAAAUUCCAUUGGGAUCUGGGAACCUCUUGGUCCCAUCUGACUUGUACUGGGAGACCCAGCAGGUGGAGGUCUUGCUGGCAGAGGUCCACCUCAGUGAAGCUUUACCAUAGCCUGGUGUUGGACCUGUUACCUGCUUGGCUCCUCAGAUGGGCUUCAGCAACCACCAAAGCAUUGUCCCAGAUAGGUGUCCCGUGGCUCCUUCAUCUCAGGGAGACUAUGUCAGAGGAUUUCACACUACAGAGACCUGCCGCUCCUGUCAGUGUGCCUCAAGAAGGUGCUGCUGCUGAUGGUCAGGUAAGGCACUGCUCACUGACACCCUGGGCAUCUUCUACUUGCUGCAUCUUGUCUUUUGUGUCCUUGCUGCCACGGCUUGGAGGAGUUCUGGGUUGUUGAGGACAUCUGCAGUGGGUCAAUCCCGCUGACUGUGCUUUAUCUAAACAUCAAUUUGGAUUUUUAAAAGUAAGCCAGAGCCAGCUCACCCGGCCGAGGGACAGGGUAGGAGCAGGUCAGCAGACAGAAUUAUGGGGGCUUGAGGAAAAUAGGGAGUAAAAGGCUGUGAGGGAUGGAGGAGUGGAGACACGUGCAGGACCUUGGGGGUUCCUCAUGGGGAAGGCGGAGACCCUAACUAGAAUGGGCAAAGCAACUAAAGAAUACAGAAGGGCUGAGUUCGGAUUCAGAAGACCACUCACCCAGUGGGUGUGGCUUCUCCCUCCUCUGCCUUGGGGAUUCCACCUGACGAUCAUGGGAGCUCUCAAGGCUGAAGAUGAUUCUAAUAGACACUUAGCAGGGGUAUUUCUAUUGCUCAUUUGCAUGACGUAUGUACGUGCGUGCGUGUGUGUGUGUGUGUGUGUGUGUGUGUGUGUGUGUGUGUGUGUACGUACAUGUUUAGGCCCUUGGAGUAAAACCCUGCUAACUCAAGCUUGUUUGUUCUCAGAAAAAAGGAAAAGAUUUGGGACUUUGGUAAGGAAAGGCUGGGUGUCUGGACACUUGUGGGUGCCACUCCAGGCCCAGCAGCCCUGAGAAGUCCCUGAUCCCAAAGGCGAGGAGAGGGAUUCUAGAGUUUGGACAAGACCUCUCUGUAACCCAGUCUGACCCUGAACUCACGAUUCCCCUGCCUCUGACUCCUGAGAGCAGCAUUAUUUAUUUGUGUGUGUGUGUGUGUGAGAAAGAGAGAGAGAGAGAGAGAGAGAGAGAGAGAGAGAGAGAGAGAGAGAGAGAGAGAGAGAUCACACGCAUGUGUAGCACAAUGUGAAUGUGGAGGUUAGAAUUCUUGCAGGAAUCAGCUCUUUCCUUCCAUCAUGUAGUUCCAGGGAUUGAACUCGGGUCAUUAAUCUUAGCAGCAAGCUCUCUAUCCACUGAGCCAGCUUACCUGCCCCAAGUUAGUGAUUUUUAAAGUCAACCAAAAAAGCCCAGCUUGGCUCCUAUCUGUAAUGCCAGCACUUGGGAAGCGAGGGCAGGAAGGAUUGCUGGAAGUCAGAGGCCAGCCUGGACUACUGAGUGAGACUCUGUCUCAAAAGAGCAAACCAAAACCCCUAAAAGGCAGCUGUGCAUGGAGGUCUACUGCUGUGAUCUUGGAGGUAGAUGCAGAAGGGUCAGGGGUUCAGGUCCACUUCAGCUACAUGGUAAGUCUGAGACCAGUCUGGGAUAUAUGAGAUCUUGUAUCAAAAAAUAAUAAUAAAAAUAAACCAUAAA